Quercus robur (English oak) is the source of this 966-nucleotide long non-coding RNA. RefSeq lists it as uncharacterized. The record is from RefSeq and is a predicted model, not a curated record. The transcript is spliced from 2 exons. Lineage: Eukaryota; Viridiplantae; Streptophyta; Magnoliopsida; Fagales; Fagaceae.
AGGCUUGCAAUACUCCUAAAAAAAAACGCAGGAUACGGAGAGAGGAAACUGUGUUCAUAAGCUGUCAAUCGCCAGACUAGAGCACCACAACUGCAAGCACAUGCAUAGAGAAAGAAAAAUUUAUGGGCAUCAACACCGUUAGGUUAUCUAUCGGCCACCAUCAGAUCGUCGAACUGCCUCCGGUAUUUUUUGAAUUCAAAGGCAAAGGAAAUGAAGGCCUAGACAAUUCAUUGCAGAAUAGGUAUGUUCCUAAAUUCUUGGUAGAAAAUUUCCGUCAUAAUGUAUUAUAAUGAAACUCAAGUCCUUUUAGCUAAAAUAGUAUCAACAGGUUGGUAUUAUUGGCAUGCAUGAUUUAUGUUAGAAAAGCAUUAUAUUUAACAGAAGAUGAGAAAAGUCACUGUGUUUCAUGGAUGUUAAGACAUGUUUCUGUGGCAUAUCUAACAUAUUAAGUUAUUAAUAGAAACUUGAAUCAAUGUACUUCAAGUAUGAAAGAAACUGUCGGAAACAACCACCAACAGACACUGCCUAAACAACUGUUGUGUGUUUCAGCCCAAACACCAAAUAGUACUAUUACGAAAACACUUCUUACCAUAAUUACCAUGAUCUAAUUGUAUUUGAUUGAUAACUAUAAAGUCUUCAUUAUUAGGAAAUAGACAUCAUGCUUAUUGUGAUAUUAUUUGUGAACUUGCUAGGAGUUAGGAGUGAAGCUAUAUGUUUUUUAUUUUGAAUCUAUAGAAAUUGUUGAGUCUGAUUUUGAAACUCUUCCACCUUUCUUCUGAAUUGGAAGCUACAGGCUCCUCUAGCUUAUGAUUACUUAUGUGCACAAAGGUUUUGAAGUGCUGUGGAAGGAACAUUUUCUUCGAUUAUUGCUUUUUGUUGUAGAAACAUUUAUGAUAUUACCUUUUGAUAUGGUCUUCUUGGGUAAAUAUGAAGGAAAAUGUUACAUCUUUGUGGCAUUCUAACUAA